GCUGGGCGUGGUGGCUCAUGCCUGUAAUCCCAGCACUUUGGGAGGCCGAGGUGGGAGGAUCCCCUGAGGUCAGGAGUUCGAGACCAGCCUGGCCAACAUGGUGAAACCCCAUCUCUU
RNAcentral lists this non-coding RNA (117 nucleotides) under Nomascus leucogenys (northern white-cheeked gibbon). Lineage: Eukaryota; Metazoa; Chordata; Mammalia; Primates; Hylobatidae. The record is from Rfam by way of RNAcentral.